AACGAACGCUGGCGGCGUGCCUAAGCCAUGCAAGUCGAACGGGUUGUCGCAAGACAAUCAGUGGCGGAACUGGGUGAGUAAUACGUGGGUAAUCUGCCCGAGAGUGGGGAAUAGCCCUUCCAACGAGGGGGUAACACCGCAUAUUAUCGCGAAUCCGCAUGGAUUUGCGAUGAAAACAGGGGAUCGCAAGACCUUGUGCUCUCGGAUGAACCCGCGCCCCAUUAGCUAGUUGGUGAGGUAACGGCUCACCAAGGCGACGAUGGGUAGCCGGCCUGAGAGGGUGACCGGCCACACUGGGACUGAGAUACGGCCCAGACUCCUACGGGAGGCAGCAGGCGGGAAUAUUGGGCAAUGGACGAAAGUCUGACCCAGCGACGCCGCGUGAGGGAUGAAGCUUCUCGGAGCGUAAACCUCAAACGGAUAGGGACGAAAAGCCUAUCGGCUAAUAUCCGGUAGGCCUGACGGUACCUGUUACGAAGCUCCGGCUAACUCCGUG
RNAcentral lists this ribosomal RNA (496 nucleotides) under uncultured bacterium. Its description in RNAcentral is "bacterial SSU rRNA". It matches the Rfam family "Bacterial small subunit ribosomal RNA", at positions 29 to 507 of the family's 1533-position model. The record is from RNAcentral.